GAUGAACGCUGGCGGCGUGCCUAAUACAUGCAAGUCGAGCGAACGGACGAGAAGCUUGCUUCUCUGAUGUUAGCGGCGGACGGGUGAGUAACACGUGGAUCACCCACCUAUAAGACUGGGAUCAAUUCGGGAAACCGGAGCUAAUACCGGAUGAUAUUUUGCACCGCAUGGUUAAAAAGUGAAAGACGGUCUUGCUGUCACUUAUAGAUGGAUCCGCGCUGCAUUAGCUAGUUGGUAAGGUAACGGCUUACCAAGGGAACGAUGCAUAGCCGACCUGGGAGGGUGGUCGGCCGCACUGGAACGGAGACACGGACCAGGCUCCUACGGGAGGCAGCAGUAGGUAAUCUGCCGCAAUGGGCGAAAGCCUGACGGAACAACGCCGCGUGAGUGAUGAAGGUCUUCGGAUCGUAAAACUCUGUUAUUAGGGAAGAACAUAUGUGUAAGGAACUGUGCACAUCUUGACGGUACCUAAUCAGAAAGCCACGGCUAACUACGUG
This 497-nucleotide ribosomal RNA is filed under the name uncultured bacterium. Its description in RNAcentral is "partial 16S ribosomal RNA". It matches the Rfam family "Bacterial small subunit ribosomal RNA", at positions 28 to 507 of the family's 1533-position model. The record is from RNAcentral.